This 492-nucleotide ribosomal RNA is filed under the name uncultured bacterium. RNAcentral's name for it is "partial 16S ribosomal RNA". It matches the Rfam family "Bacterial small subunit ribosomal RNA", at positions 29 to 507 of the family's 1533-position model. The record is from RNAcentral.
AGUGAACGCUGGCGGUAGGCCUAACACAUGCAAGUCGAACGGCAGCACAGUAAGAGCUUGCUCUUACGGGUGGCGAGUGGCGUACGGGUGAGGAAUACAUCGGAAUCUACUUUUUCGUGGGGGAUAACGUAGGGAAACUUACGCUAAUACCGCAUACGACCUACGGGUGAAAGCAGGGGAUCUUCGGACCUUGCGCGAAUGAAUGAGCCGAUGUCGGAUUAGCUAGUUGGCGGGGUAAAGGCCCACCAAGGCGACGAUCCGUAGCUGGUCUGAGAGGAUGAUCGGCCACACUGGAACUGAGACACGGUCCAGACUCCUACGGGAGGCAGCAGUGGGGAAUAUUGGACAAUGGGCGCAAGCCUGAUCCAGCCAUACCGCGUGGGUGAAGAAGGCCUUCGGGUUGUAAAGCCCUUUUGUUGGGAAAGAAAAGCAGCAGGUUAAUACCCCGCUGUUCUGACGGUACCCAAAGAAUAAGCACCGGCUAACUUCGUG